CCUCAGACUGCGCAACGAGUGACGUGGCCGCAGCAGAAUUGAUCCCACGACGAAAGCGGCUCCAGAGAAACAGAGAGGGAGCUGGUGUUCCCCGUCUACGGUGAAGUAGUGGCCGCCAUCUGAACACCGAAAGCGGAUCUACAGGAUCGACUGCAGCCUGCAAACAGCAGUAGUGGACGACACCCAACAGGCUGUUAGCAGCCACAUGCGUUUUAUUCAGAUUUACUGAGAUCAGGGCGGUACACUUCGAAAUA
Long non-coding RNA from Schistocerca cancellata (South American locust), 254 nucleotides. RefSeq lists it as uncharacterized. The record is from RefSeq and is a predicted model, not a curated record. NCBI's taxonomy places the organism in Eukaryota, Metazoa, Arthropoda, Insecta, Orthoptera, Acrididae. The transcript is spliced from 4 exons.